GCCCGUCUGGUCUAGUGGUUAGGGCGCCGCCAACCUUUGUCGGACACUAUAUAUAUAUGUCCCUCCCUUAUUUCCUUUGUCCUGUCUGGCAAAGGUACGCGGCGGAGACCCGGGUUCGACCCCCGGGAUGGGCA
This is a non-coding RNA of Magnaporthiopsis poae ATCC 64411, 134 nucleotides long. Lineage: Eukaryota; Fungi; Ascomycota; Sordariomycetes; Magnaporthales; Magnaporthaceae. The record is from the annotation of a GenBank genome assembly.